GAAAGCCGUAUGAGGGAAAACCUCACGUACGGUUUGAUGAGGGGGAACUGAAAGUAAAGAAGAUAGCCGAAAGGCUACCCUCUAGAAAUCAGUUCUCUACUCUAC
This 105-nucleotide non-coding RNA is filed under the name Sediminibacillus halophilus. The record is from RNAcentral. Lineage: Bacteria; Bacillati; Bacillota; Bacilli; Caryophanales; Bacillaceae.